RNAcentral lists this unclassified non-coding RNA (376 nucleotides) under uncultured Gammaproteobacteria bacterium. RNAcentral's name for it is "contains 16S-23S intergenic spacer region". The record is from RNAcentral. Lineage: Bacteria; Pseudomonadati; Pseudomonadota; Gammaproteobacteria.
UCCGGUUUGUCACCGGCAGUCUCAUUAGAGUGCCCAACUGAAUGUAGCAACUAGAGGCAAGGGUUGCGCUCGUUGCGGGACUUAACCCAACAUCUCACGACACGAGCUGACGACAGCCAUGCAGCACCUGUGUCCAGGCUCCCUUUCGGGCACCCUCCCGUCUCUGGGAGGUUCCUGGCAUGUCAAGGGUAGGUAAGGUUUUUCGCGUUGCAUCGAAUUAAGCAACAUAAUCCACCGCUUGUGCGGGUCCCCGUCAAUUCCUUUGAGUUUUAACCUUGCGGCCGUACUCCCCAGGCGGUCAACUUCACGCGUUAGCUUCGUUACCAAGGAAUUACUUCCCCGACAACCAGUUGACAUCGUUUAGGGCGUGGACUAC